GCGGGUAUGGUUUAGUGGUAGAAUGCGACCUUCCCAAGGUUGAGAUACGGGUUCGAUUCCCGUUACCCGCUCCA
Molecule: transfer RNA, 74 nt
Filed under: bacterium
Lineage: Bacteria
Description: tRNA-Gly
Rfam family: tRNA
About the family: Transfer RNA (tRNA) molecules are approximately 80 nucleotides in length. Their secondary structure includes four short double-helical elements and three loops (D, anti-codon, and T loops).
Source: RNAcentral